CCUACGGGGGGCUGCAGUGGGGAAUAUUGCACAAUGGGGGAAACCCUGAUGCAGCAACGCCGCGUGAGUGAAGAAGUAUUUCGGUAUGUAAAGCUCUAUCAGCAGGGAAGAAGAAAGAUGGUACCUGACUAAGAAGCCCCGGCUAACUACGUGCCAGCAGCCGCGGUAAUACGCAGGGGGCAAGCGUUAUCCGGAGUUACUGGGGGUAAAGGGAGCGUAGACGGCUGUGCAAGUCUGAAGUGAAAGCCCGUGGCUCAACCGCGGAAGUGCUGUGGAAACUGUAUAGCUUGAGUACUGGAGAGGCAGGCGGAAUUCGUGGUGUAGCGGGGAAAUGCGUAGAGAUAAGGAGGAACACCGGUGGCGAAGGCGGCUUGCUGGACAGAAACUGACGUUGAGGCGCGAAAGCGUGGGGAGCAAACAGGAUUAGAUACCCCGGUAGUC
Molecule: ribosomal RNA, 441 nt
Filed under: uncultured bacterium
Lineage: Bacteria
Description: partial 16S ribosomal RNA
Rfam family: Bacterial small subunit ribosomal RNA
Source: RNAcentral